This 1753-nucleotide long non-coding RNA is filed under the name Equus caballus (horse). RNAcentral describes it as "lncRNA (ENSECAG00000053947.1)". The record is from RNAcentral. Lineage: Eukaryota; Metazoa; Chordata; Mammalia; Perissodactyla; Equidae.
AAACGCUGACUCCUAACAUCUGCCAGUUUCCGUGGUGUAGAUACUCCCGCCAGGGCCCAUUUCAAGCUCUGAGAGUGAUGUAAGCAGAGGAGGGGUGCCUGCAGGCACCUAUCCAGAGCCAAUUCCAGCUCCAGCACCCCACUGGGCGGCCAGAGAGGUUCCCGCGUACCAGGCUCCCGCCUCCGCACCUCACGUGCAUGAGCUCAUGGAAUCCUCAUCACGGCUCUACCGCACAGCUGCUUCUCUUGCCUCUGUUCCGCAGAUGGGGAAACUGAGGCACAGACAGUCUGGCUCUGGCACCUGACCACACUAUACUGCCUCUCUUUCUUGUGCUUAAAAUCAAACCCAAACGCCUCACUGUGGCGACAAGAGCUAGGCUGCAUCCCUGCAUUCGUCUCCUUCCCCAUCGUGUGUCCCACACGCACUCCUACACGCCCUUCUGGUCACACCUGGCUCCUCCUAGCACUUGUUCCUCUGCACCAUGCUGCUGGCCUUUGCCCCUUGGUUCCCUCUGCCCGGAAGGCUCUUCUCCAGCUCUGAGGUGCCGGCUUAAAGGUCACCUCCCCGGAGAGCCUUCCCUGACCACCCAUUUGCCUCUCUUUCACCUCUAUCUCUUUCCUUCCUUCCCAGUGCGUCUCACAACCAGUAGUGUUCUAUUUAUUUGCCUAACUGUUGAGCAGCGGUUCUCAGUGGGGGACAGCGGGCCAAGGGGCGAGUUGAUAUUGCAGUUGGUAAAGUCUUGAGACAUACUCAGUUUGUUGUCACAACUCAGGUGGGUACUAUUGGCCUCUAGUGGGUGGAGACCAGGGAUGCUGUUCAACAUCCUACAGUGCCCAGGAUGGCCCCCACCACAAAGAAUGGUGUGGCCCCAAACACCAAGGGUGUCAAGGUUGCACCAUUUUGCUGUCAACUGUCUCUCCCUGCUAGAAUGCAAAUUCCAGAAGGGCAUAGCCUUGAUUUUGUUCUCCACUACAUGCUCAGCUGCAAGCACAGUGCCUCACACACAGUAGGUGCCUUAGAAGUAGGUGUUAAGCGACUAAAUAAAAAAUAACACCACUCCGGAUGAGAAUAAGAACACUGAGACAGCCUUUAAAGGGUCACACGUAAGUCUUCAUGCCAGGCAGGAAAGAGGUAGGGCUGGCGGGCGGGUUCUGCUCUUCUCUCUGCUUAGCAUUGUUUUUGGCCCGAGUACAGGGAAGGUGGAGCGGGCAUUUGAUAACAUCCCCUCCUCCCCCAUCCCUACCCUCCCCAGCAGCCGGCCACUAAGCGUUGCACUUGGCUAGAGUUCCCCGUAGUAAUUUGGUUAAUUGGAUGAACAGGCACUUCAGUGACAGAGACUGGAUUUCCACACCGCAGUCCAUCAAAACUAAUCAGUUGGCUGUGUUCCAUCGCUCAGCAACUGACAGCUUCACCAGGAUGACUUGCCACCAAUGGAGUCUCUCCUGGUCUCCUGAUGCUUCUGCUCGCUAGAGAAUGUGGGGGCUAAGUUAGAAACAAGGACCUAUCAGGUGUGUUCAGAUUAACCAGCCCCUGAGGUCUGAGACUGUGUGGGGCCAGAUGGGGAAAGAGAACAGGCCUAGUCCGAAAGGGACUCACGGCUGAGUGCCGAGUGUGCAUCAGAGUUCUCCUGGUCCAGGGAUCCGCAGAGACAACGCAGACCAGGGCCCUGGGCCACCAUCUCCCGCUGGAUGAGAAGUGAGGAUGGCGGCUUCCAUCCACACCUCCACCCCCACCCCUCUUCAGGUCAUCCCUG